Molecule: transfer RNA, 102 nt
Organism: Dichomitus squalens LYAD-421 SS1
Lineage: Eukaryota; Fungi; Basidiomycota; Agaricomycetes; Polyporales; Polyporaceae
Rfam family: tRNA
About the family: Transfer RNA (tRNA) molecules are approximately 80 nucleotides in length.
Source: Rfam
GGCGAUAUGGCCGAGCGGUCUAAGGCGCCAGAAUCAGGACGAUUUGAAAAUACGUCUUCUAUCUGGUCCUCACGGGCGUGGGUUCGAAUCCCACUGUCGUCA